Molecule: long non-coding RNA, 1359 nt
Organism: Micropterus dolomieu (smallmouth bass)
Lineage: Eukaryota; Metazoa; Chordata; Actinopteri; Centrarchiformes; Centrarchidae
Exons: 3
Source: RefSeq, a predicted model, not a curated record
UGUUUUGUAGGAGUUAUGAGUCAAGGCUGACAAUGUUUUAAUCACAGGUAUUUUAAGUCACCUGUUGUCCAGACCUUGUCAGCUGAAUAGCCUGUUGUGCUAAAGGUUCACCACAGAGAAGGCAGUGGUUAACGCUGAGUGGGCCUAAACAUCUGAUCCAUAAAUGAGGUGGAGUCAGAGCUGGGUUGAGUACUUACUGCAUUGUGUGAGCAAGCCCUCACCAGAUUAAACCAUCACAUGGAGGACACUUCACAUGAAUGCACUUGUGGAUUUUCUGUAGCUAUUCGAAGGCCUGUUUCACUGCGUGGCGUCAACCCUCCUCCGCCAAUGUAGGAGUGUCUCUGGAUGACGAAGGCAGAGUUAUAGCUCUCAAUCUGGAAUGCUGCCCUACUUGGCAGUUCACGCCUAAGAAUCUCAGCUCUGUAACCUCAGGUCAAUUUUGGUUGGAAUUUUCCCCUCGUUCUGUUUUGGUUGAGUCAUUCAAAAAAGCCAACACAAGAUUGAUUACAUUUUUCCAUUAACACUGAGUCUUAUAAACAACCAUUGAAAGGGUCUAAAUCUAAAAAUUCAGAUCCUCAGCCUCUUAAAGAGGCACUGCACUGAUUGAAGAUCAAUUUGGAUGCAAUGGGAUGUACUAUACAGUUGUAUGAUGUCUGAGGCUCUGGUGAAACUUUGCCAAGUCUGAGAAAUUAACCCUGGCAAUGUCACUGAGGUCAUCAGGUUUGUCUGCUUCAGUUGGGAGACUUAAAAUCUUUUUAGAGUCUGUGUUAUAGACUUGAGGCAUGGAGUUUAAAAGACCAGGCAGAAGGCUUUUAUAAUCUGCUUUUAGGCCUGACUAGAAAACAAAAGUGAAGAUGGAAGCAAAUAAACAGCAAAAAGGUGUACUGUAGUGUCUGUGGAUCAAGAGAAAAUAACAUGAUCUCCCUGGUUUCUUAAAACUAGAAGGCCACUCUGGAGAGCGCAGACCUCUGUCAGGGCCAACAGUCUGGUCUUCUUUGAUGCAACCACUAUAUAUGUCUGGAUCUAUUUCCAAAACUAUAGAAUUAGUGUGUCAAAUUAUGGUUGUGCCUAGCUGAAGCAUCAGCUCAGCUGUGCAUUUAUUGUGUGCUGUGUGAAUAUAUAUGAAUAGUGCUAUGUAAAAAAAUAAUUUUGUAUCUGCCAUGUGAUUUUCAUUGGCCAAUGCUACACUUUUCCACCAAGUUUUAUGGAAAUCAGGCCAGUAGUUUUUCCUGUAAUCCUGCUGACAGACAAACAAAUGGCACAGAAAACAUAACCUCAUUGGUGGAGGUGAUCACCUAAAACUGUCAGAACAUUGUAUGGAUUAAAACACUUCCUCAGCCAAAAAAUCUAAUCUAUAAU